Long non-coding RNA from Ylistrum balloti, 1222 nucleotides. RefSeq lists it as uncharacterized. NCBI's taxonomy places the organism in Eukaryota, Metazoa, Mollusca, Bivalvia, Pectinida, Pectinidae. The record is from RefSeq and is a predicted model, not a curated record. The transcript has 3 exons.
UUAAGUAUAUGUACCUUUACCUGUUCUGUCUUUAGUCAGUUCAACCAUACUUAUCAUCAAUGUUAGUUGAUUGUUUGAUCUGAAUUAAGACACACCCUCCUACUCCUACUUAACAAAUGAAAAUGGAGUCUCCAGCUGCUAGACGACUGAACAGAGUAGAACCAAGGAUGGGGUUCGAAAUUAAGGCAGUGGUUCUGACGUUAGCAUGCUUCGUGUAUGCCAUCACCCUGUUUCUGAUGGCGGCGUUCAUCAGCAAGGCAUCAACAGUGAUAAUAUCAUCAGUUUCAUCGUCACUGAAGCGUUACCAGUUCUGGAACAUUGAACACCAGACCAAAGUAAAUGUGAAACCAUCUUCAGUUCGCUCGGCGAAAUACAUAUCCCAGGGAUGAGAAAUCGCUGACACAACCAAACGUGAAUCUCAAAAACACUUAUAUCAUCAAACCGAUGUCAGAUUCGAUGAUUUGUGCGAUGAUGCGUGUAUAUUGUACUCCAAUGUGCUUAAUGAUAGCCAGUUUGUGCCUGUGAUUACAGGUGAUUCAGACUAGGAACUUGUACACGAACAUACUGUGAUACCAAUCAAGUAUGGCACACACUUUUGCAACGAGAGAGUAAAGCACGUCGUUGCAGGUUUACAUGUAUGCUUGGAACUACGACGAGUAUCCAAUGGAAGAACUUAUAUGAUGGCAAAGUGUCGAAAUAAACUGUCUAUUCCAUUAUCAGGUGUAUGUAAGUUGGAUGUGCAAUAUUUAAGUAUAGAACAUUCGAAAAAAAUGUUUUAAGAGUUUUAACAAUUUAACAAGAAAAAAAAGUUCUGAAGAGAUUACAUAGAUUUUUUUAAAAAUAUCUCUUGAUUAAUUUAUUACGUAAAGAAUAUUCAAUAAAUCAAAGUCUGGACAUGUUGAUCUAAGUGAAUAACAGAAAUAUAAUUCCUGUUAUUUUUAUUCAGUUAUGAUAAAAAAGAAUACAAUUCAAAAUUAACUAAUUAUUAAUAGCUUUAAGAAUGACACUUAGAAUAUUAAACAUCCCUAACAUAAGAUCAUUGACCGUUCGACAAUUACGUCAGUGAAUGAUGAACGAAAGGACUUCAUCAUACAUAUGUUUUAUCCAUCAGCAAGGUUCAUUUAUGUGUCGUAAGCGUUUGCAAGACGCUGAAGUUUGUACUUUGUUAUAUUCUGUUGCUUUUCACAGAUAAUAGUUGUUAAUAAAUCAAAUAAUACUUACA